Molecule: ribosomal RNA, 467 nt
Filed under: uncultured bacterium
Lineage: Bacteria
Description: partial 16S ribosomal RNA
Rfam family: Bacterial small subunit ribosomal RNA
Source: RNAcentral
GACGAACGCUGGCGGCGUGCUUAACACAUGCCAGUCGAACGGAAAGGCCCUGCUUUUGUGGGGUGCUCGAGUGGCGAACGGGUGAGUAACACGUGAGUAACCUGCCCUUGACUUUGGGAUAACUUCAGGAAACUGGGGCUAAUACCGGAUAGGAGCUCCUGCUGCAUGGUGGGGGUUGGAAAGUUUCGGCGGUUGGGGAUGGACUCGCGGCUUAUCAGCUUGUUGGUGGGGUAGUGGCUUACCAAGGCUUUGACGGGUAGCCGGCCUGAGAGGGUGACCGGCCACAUGGGGACUGGGAUACGGCCCAAACCCCUACGGGGGGGAGGAGGGGGGAAUUUUGCACAAGGGGCGGAAGCAUGAUGCAGCAACGCCGGGUGCGGGAUGAGGGCCUUCGGGUUGUAACCCGCUUUCGCCUGUGACGAAGGGUGAGUGACGGUAAUGGGUAAAGAAGCACCGGCUAACUACGU